Molecule: long non-coding RNA, 575 nt
Filed under: Bos taurus (domestic cattle)
Lineage: Eukaryota; Metazoa; Chordata; Mammalia; Artiodactyla; Bovidae
Description: long non-coding RNA NONBTAT020646
Source: RNAcentral
CAUGGCACCAUUAGCAUUUAUCACCCUCAUUGCUGGCAAUGAGACAUAGGUUAUUUGUGAACUUAAGAGCUGAUAUCUUUAGUGUUGUGUAUUAUUAGUUACAAGCACUUUUUAUUUAUGUAUGUAGCAGAAAAUUGUUUUUGAGAAUAAGAUAGGGUUCAUGUUUUAAUAUUUUUGGUUUACUGUGUUGUAAAAGUAAUAGAAACUGAUUGAGUGCCACAAGCUUCAGUAUUUCACAACAGAUAUAUAAAUUGUUGCUGUUUAUUCCACAGAAAGCAUCUGUCAUCUCUCCCUCUUUUCUGACCUGCAUUUAGUUUCCUGACCCUUCCAUGGGAUUUAGCCAGUUUCUGUUAGGUCACUGCAAAUACCUCCUUUGUGAAAGUGGAUUUAUCAUAGCCAGUCUGUGUUUCCAAAGUGAGUUAGACAGUUAUUUAAAAGCAAUUGAUAAUUUUUUGAGACUUCAGUUGUUUAAUACAUGGAGGAAUGUGCACUGAUUUUUCACUGUAAAGGGGAAAGGGCUGUUGUAACAACAGUAUGAGCAUCAGCCUGAAGCACUGCCUUGUAUACCACAAUGG